RNAcentral lists this transfer RNA (67 nucleotides) under Petrodromus tetradactylus (four-toed elephant shrew). Its description in RNAcentral is "tRNA-Trp". Lineage: Eukaryota; Metazoa; Chordata; Mammalia; Macroscelidea; Macroscelididae. The record is from RNAcentral.
AGAAGCUUAGGUUAACCCAAGACCAAGGGCCUUCAAAGCCCUAAGUAAGUGAAACACUUAGCUUCUG